UACGUAGGGACCAAGCGUUGUUCGGAUUUACUGGGCGUAAAGGGCGCGUAGGCGGCAUGACAAGUCACUUGUGAAAUCUCCGGGCUUAACUCGGAACGGUCAAGUGAUACUGUCGCGCUAGAGUGCGGAAGGGGCAAUCAGAAUUCUUGGUGUAGCGGUGAAAUGCGUAGAUAUCAAGAGGAAUACCUGAGGUGAAGACGGGUUGCUAGGCCGACACUGACGCUGAAGCGCGAAAGCUAGGGGAGCGAACGGG
This 253-nucleotide ribosomal RNA is filed under the name uncultured bacterium. Its description in RNAcentral is "partial 16S ribosomal RNA". It matches the Rfam family "Bacterial small subunit ribosomal RNA", at positions 524 to 776 of the family's 1533-position model. The record is from RNAcentral.